GGCCAAUUUCUGUCUGAGCUAAGUCAGACAAAGACCACUGAGCCAACAGACAUCAGAUGCCUUUGUGUUCGGGGACUGCCAAUCAUCUUGAGGGAUGAGCCUUCUGCCUUCUUCAAGACCUGCACCGAUGCGGCUGAUAAGGAGGUGUACAGUCAAACUGCCGGAGAAAAUCCUCAGCUCAACCCCAUCCAUUGUGGCAAUCGUC
Gymnodraco acuticeps is the source of this 205-nucleotide long non-coding RNA. RefSeq lists it as uncharacterized. The record is from RefSeq and is a predicted model, not a curated record. The transcript is spliced from 3 exons. NCBI's taxonomy places the organism in Eukaryota, Metazoa, Chordata, Actinopteri, Perciformes, Bathydraconidae.